CAUUUGAUCACUUUUGCUUUUUGAUUCACAAUCUAAUGAAGGUUUGUACACUGUAUUGGGUUACUUUACUUUUCAAGACACUUUUUAGGACUUUAAAUGCUAAUUUUUUUUUCUAAGUGAAAUCGGACUUUUAUCUCAGAGUCUGGCAUCCUAACUGCAAUAUGUGGAGUUUCAGGUUAUGAUGACCUUUCUCCAUGUGGACACUCCCUGAGGAUAAUGGGUUCUUUGGAGGAAACAAGAGAUAAGGUGAUGGAAACACUGCUUUAUGGGUAAGGAAAUGGUAGGAGGCAAGAGUUUAGGUCAAGAGAGCAAACUCCUUUUGGCCAGAGUUAUUCACUCACUCAGUCCACUGAUUUUCCUCUCCCAUCUGUAUUCUCUUUCACUUUUUAUAACUUCCAGCAAGAUCCAAUGUGAAUAAAAGCUAAUUAAAUGUGCUAUAGACUAUGAGGUACUUAAGACAGGCACUUUGCUUGUGUUUAUCUUUUUUCCUUUUAAAUUUCAUGAAGAUGAAAAGAGAAACAGUACCAUCGGUGAUGUCCCCUUUGCCUAUAAUCCCUUUUUCUCUCCUCAGUUUUCCCACCUUUAACAAUGGGGAAAUUAAUAGUGCCCAGCUACGUACGUAGCUCAGAACAAUGUGUGGCACAAAGAAAGCCUUGUAAUCUUUUUCAUGCAAGUGAAAUUACAUAUGGAAAAAUGCACGGACCAUGAGUGUGCAGCUCUGUGAAGUGAACACACUCUCUACAUCAAGAAAUACGAUGACUUAUUUCUGGUUUGGGGGCCACUAUGAAUGAAUGAUACUGCUGUGAACACACUGCUGCUGGGCCACACAUACUUGAGUAGAAUUGCUGCUUACUGGUAUGACAGACUGCUACCUAAAAUCACUGUUCUAAUGUGCAUUCCCACCAGCACAGUAGGAGUUCCUCUCACCCCAAAUCCUCAAAAGUUGGUAUUGUCAGUUCUAAAAAUUUAAACCCUUGUGUUGGGUGUGUAGUGGUAUCUCAUUGUGGUUUUCAUAUGCAUUUCUCUGAUGGCUGAGAUUGAGCACAGUAUCAUAUGUUUAAGGCAAUGCAGAUUUUCUCUCUUGGAAACAGUUUACAUCUCUUGUUCAAUCUUCUAUUGGGUGAUGAGUUCCUCUUACUGAUUUAAUGUGGAUAUAAGUCUUUUGUUAGUUAUGUGUUGCAAGUAUCUUUUUGCACUCUAUGCCCCGGCCUUUCCCCUCUUCCUAUAGUGUCUAGAUGAAUAGUCUCUGGUUUUAAUGCAAUCAACUUACCAAUCCUUUCCUUUAUAAUCAGUGCUUUUUGCAUCCUGUAUAAGGAAUAUUUUCCUAUCUCAUGGCCACAAAGGUAGUGUUCUAUGUUAUGUCCUAAGAGCUUUUAAAUUUAUCUUCCACAUUUAUUUUCUACAAUUAGGUUAUAUUCCACCUUUGCUUAUCAAAGUCUAAUGUAAAAUAGCUCCAUCCUUUUCCUAGACAAUGUACUGAGUUUAGAACACUUUAAAACCAUUUACUUUUCCUGAUUUAUGUACUAUUUUUAUAAUAUUUUAUA
This is a non-coding RNA of Vicugna pacos (alpaca), 1544 nucleotides long. NCBI's taxonomy places the organism in Eukaryota, Metazoa, Chordata, Mammalia, Artiodactyla, Camelidae. The record is from RefSeq and is a predicted model, not a curated record.